Molecule: non-coding RNA, 144 nt
Filed under: Rhodopseudomonas palustris
Lineage: Bacteria; Pseudomonadati; Pseudomonadota; Alphaproteobacteria; Hyphomicrobiales; Nitrobacteraceae
Source: RNAcentral
UGACACUGUGCAUGUGAAGGGGCAUCAUUCGCCGUCUGCUAUCGAUCGGAAGCCGGUGAGAACCCGGCACGGUCGCGCCACUGUAACCAGUCCUGCUGCAUCAAGCUUGGAUCGGAAGUCAGACCCCUUCGGAAGCAGUCAUAU